UGCCCUGUAGCUCAGUUGGAAGAGCAGCGAGCUGUUAACUCGAUGGUCGCGGGUUCCAUCCCUGCCAGGGCAGUCA
Molecule: transfer RNA, 76 nt
Filed under: Moorena producens PAL-8-15-08-1
Lineage: Bacteria; Bacillati; Cyanobacteriota; Cyanophyceae; Coleofasciculales; Coleofasciculaceae
Description: Moorea producens PAL-8-15-08-1 tRNA-Asn
Rfam family: tRNA
About the family: Transfer RNA (tRNA) molecules are approximately 80 nucleotides in length. Their secondary structure includes four short double-helical elements and three loops (D, anti-codon, and T loops).
Source: RNAcentral